RNAcentral lists this long non-coding RNA (625 nucleotides) under Olea europaea subsp. europaea. Lineage: Eukaryota; Viridiplantae; Streptophyta; Magnoliopsida; Lamiales; Oleaceae. The record is from RNAcentral.
CUAAAUUGUAACACCCAAAUGUUAUUACAACAUAAUUUGAGAAUGUAAGUAAAAUGUUAGCUUAUAAUAACAUAGAGUACAACUUUGAAAGUAAUCUACCUUUGUUAAUUUUUUUUUUUUUAAUCAAAGUGUCCGUCUUCGACGACUAUUCCUUGAGUUUGUGAUUCGGCCCCUCUUCACACAGACCAAUUAAACCACGGGAUGUGCCUCCUACUGACCAGGGUCCGAGCGCCUCUUCAACUGAAUUGCCAAAGUGCCUAUUGAGUCAACUCACGUUGCGCCUUGCCUUCCAAGACAUUCCUGCCUUUCAGGAUAAAUCAUACCUUUCAGUAUAUGCCGUGCCUUCCAAGAGCUCCACGAAUUGAACCCACAACCUCUGAACUGUCAGUCUUGAGAGAAUCCUUCCUUUGCUAGUGGAGAAGUGCCCCGGGGGGAAAUCUACCUUUGUUACUUUGUCGCAUUGGAUGUUGUGUGUUUCAUUAUUAUCCAUAUGUUGUCGAAUAUAAGAUGCUUAAUUUGAAUUCUCUAUCUAAUUGUUGUCACUUCUGAGGAGCAAAUACAAACACUAUCAGAAAUAAUGCUUAUAUUAAAUAUCAACAGGCUUUUUGGUCACUUUAGCCUAUUU